Ixodes scapularis (black-legged tick) is the source of this 58-nucleotide non-coding RNA. NCBI's taxonomy places the organism in Eukaryota, Metazoa, Arthropoda, Arachnida, Ixodida, Ixodidae. The record is from Rfam.
UUGGUAGAGCGCUCCACCUGUAAUGGAGAGGUCCCGGGUUCGAUACCCGGACCAGGCG